UAUCUCUCCCUAACUAAAGGUCUCUAUGUCUCUCCCUAACUAAAGGUCUUUAUGUCUCUCCCUAACUAAAAGGUCAUUCUGGACAACUUACACUUCAAAAACAAAUCUCACACAGGCUAAUGGUUGUGCCACUAUUGUGUCUGUAUGAGUGUGUAUAUAAGUGUCUGCAUGUGUGUGUGUCUGUAUGUCUGUGUAUAUAUGUGUCUGCAUAUGUGUGUGUCUGUAUGUCUGUGUAUAUAAGUGUCUGCAUAUGUGUGUGUCUGUAUGUCUGUGUAUAUAUGUGUCUGCAUAUGUGUGUGUCUGUAUGUCUGUGUAUAUAAGUGUCUGCAUAUGUGUGUGUCUGUAUGUCUGUGUAUAUAAGUGUCUGCAUGUGUGUGUGUCUGUAUGUCUGUGUAUAUAAGUGUCUGCAUAUGUGUGUGUCUGUAUGUCUGUGUAUAUAAGUGUCUGCAUGUGUGUGUGUCUGUAUGUCUGUGUAUAUAAGUGUCUGCAUGUGUGUGUCUGUAUGUCUGUGUAUAUAAGUGUCUGCAUAUGUGUGUGUCUGUAUGAGUGUGUAUAUAUGUGUCUGCAUGUGUGUGUACACUUUGCUUAAAUACAGGAUGAUAGGAUGAUUAUUUACACAUGUGUGUGCAUCUGUGUGUGUGUGUGUGUGUGUGUGUGUGU
Molecule: long non-coding RNA, 660 nt
Organism: Clupea harengus (Atlantic herring)
Lineage: Eukaryota; Metazoa; Chordata; Actinopteri; Clupeiformes; Clupeidae
Source: Ensembl